Molecule: ribosomal RNA, 376 nt
Filed under: uncultured bacterium
Lineage: Bacteria
Description: bacterial SSU rRNA
Rfam family: Bacterial small subunit ribosomal RNA
Source: RNAcentral
UACGUAGGUGGCGAGCGUUACUCGGAAUUACUAGGCGUAAAGCGUAUGCAGGCGGUCAGAUAAGUCUCUGGUGAAAACUCACGGCUCAACCGUGAGAGGCCCAGGGAUACUGUUUGGCUUGAGUGUGGGAGGGGGAGACGGAAUUCCUGGUGUAGCGGUGAAAUGCGUAGAUAUCAGGAGGAACACCGAUGGCGAAAGCAGUCUCCUGGCCCAAUACUGACGCUAAUAUACGAAAGCUAGGGUAGCAAACAGGAUUAGAUACCCUGGUAGUCCUAGCUGUAAACGAUGUUCACUAGAUGUGGGAGGUAUCGACCCCUUCCGCGUCGACGCUAACGCAUUAAGUGAACCGCCUGGGGAGUACGGCCGCAAGGUUGAA